This 440-nucleotide ribosomal RNA is filed under the name uncultured bacterium. Its description in RNAcentral is "partial 16S ribosomal RNA". It matches the Rfam family "Bacterial small subunit ribosomal RNA", at positions 338 to 795 of the family's 1533-position model. The record is from RNAcentral.
CCUACGGGAGGCAGCAGUAGGGAAUAUUGCUCAAUGGGGGAAACCCUGAAGCAGCAACGCCGCGUGGAGGAUGAAGGGUUUCGGAUUGUAAACUCAUUUUGUUAGAGAAGAUAAUGAGGGUACCUAACGAAUAAGCAGCGGCCAACUCCGUGCCAGCAGCCGCGGUAAUACGGUGGGAGCAAGCGUUACUCGGAAUCACUGGGGGUAAAGAGCGCGUAGGCGGGAUAGCAAGUGAGGUGUUAAAACCUAUGGCUUAACCCUAGAACUGCCUUUGAAACUGUUAUUCUAGAGAAGGGGAGAGGUAGGCGGAAUUCGUGGUGUAGCGGUAAAAUGCAUAGAGAUCAAGAAGAAUACUGAUUGCGAAGGCAGCCUACUGGAGCCGAACUGACGCUGAGGCACGAAAGCGUGGGUAUCGAACAGGAUUAGAUACCCCAGUAGUC